Molecule: ribosomal RNA, 590 nt
Filed under: uncultured bacterium
Lineage: Bacteria
Description: bacterial SSU rRNA
Rfam family: Bacterial small subunit ribosomal RNA
Source: RNAcentral
UCCUACGGGAGGCAGCAGUAGGGAAUCUUCCGCAAUGGACGAAAGUCUGACGGAGCAACGCCGCGUGAGUGAUGAAGGCUUUCGGGUCGUAAAACUCUGUUGUUAGGGAAGAACAAGUGCUAGUUGAAUAAGCUGGCACCUUGACGGUACCUAACCAGAAAGCCACGGCUAACUACGUGCCAGCAGCCGCGGUAAUACGUAGGUGGCAAGCGUUAUCCGGAAUUAUUGGGCGUAAAGCGCGCGCAGGUGGUUUCUUAAGUCUGAUGUGAAAGCCCACGGCUCAACCGUGGAGGGUCAUUGGAAACUGGGGGACUUGAGUGCAGAAGAGGAAAGUGGAAUUCCAUGUGUAGCGGUGAAAUGCGUAGAGAUAUGGAGGAACACCAGUGGCGAAGGCGACUUUCUGGUCUGUAACUGACACUGAGGCGCGAAAGCGUGGGGAGCAAACAGGAUUAGAUACCCUGGUAGUCCACGCCGUAAACGAUGAGUGCUAAGUGUUAGAGGGUUUCCGCCCCUUAGUGCUGAAGUUAACGCAUUAAGCACUCCGCCUGGGGAGUACGGCCGCAAGGCUGAAACUCAAAUGAAUUGACGGA